This 429-nucleotide ribosomal RNA is filed under the name uncultured archaeon. RNAcentral describes it as "bacterial SSU rRNA". It matches the Rfam family "Archaeal small subunit ribosomal RNA", at positions 474 to 903 of the family's 1478-position model. The record is from RNAcentral.
UACCAGCAGCUCAAGUGGUGAUCCUUUUUAUUGGGCCUAAAGCGUCCGUAGCCGGUCUGGUAAAUCCUUGGGUAAAUCGUACCGCUUAACGGUACGAACUCUGGGGAGACUGCUAGACUUGGGACUGGGAGAGGUCGGAGGUACUCCUGGGGUAGGGGUGAAAUCCUGUAAUCCUAGGGGGACCACCAGUGGCGAAGGCGUCCGACUAGAACGGAUCCGACGGUGAGGGACGAAGCCGUGGGGCACAAACCGGAUUAGAUACCCGGGUAGUCCACGGUGUAAACGCUGCGAGCUUGGUGUUGGGGGUCCUACGAGGGCGCCCAGUGCCGGAGAGAAGUUGUUUAGCUCGCCGCCUGGGGAGUACGAUCGCAAGAUUGAAACUUAAAGGAAUUGGCGGGGGAGCACCGCAACGGGUGGAGCGUGCGGUUC